UAGGGAAUCUUCCGCAAUGGACGAAAGUCUGACGGAGCAACGCCGCGUGAGUGAAGAAGGAUUUCGGUUCGUAAAACUCUGUUGUUAGGGAAGAAAAAAUGUAUAGUAACUAUAUACAAAAGAGACGGUACCUAACCAGAAAGCCACGGCUAACUACGUGCCAGCAGCCGCGGUAAUACGUAGGUGGCAAGCGUUGUCCGGAAUUAUUGGGCGUAAAGCGCGCGCAGGUGGUUUAGAAAGUCUGAUGUGAAAGCCCACGGCUCAACCGUGGAGGGUCAUUGGCAACUAAUAAACUUGAGUGCAGGAAAGAGAAGUGGACUUCCUAGUGUAGCGGUGACAUGCGUAGAGAUUAGGAGGAACACCGGUGGCGAAAGCGGCUUUUUGGCCUGCAACUGACACUGAGGCGCGAAAGCGUGGGGAGCAAACAGG
This 429-nucleotide ribosomal RNA is filed under the name Verrucomicrobiota bacterium. RNAcentral describes it as "Verrucomicrobia bacterium partial 16S ribosomal RNA". It matches the Rfam family "Bacterial small subunit ribosomal RNA", at positions 355 to 776 of the family's 1533-position model. The record is from RNAcentral. Lineage: Bacteria; Pseudomonadati; Verrucomicrobiota.